UCAGGAAGCUUCUGAGGGCCAUCUAAUGGUUUUGACUUUUUAGGUAGAGAAACUCAAUGGGGAUGAGAAAUUAAAGGCAGCCAUUGUCAUGAGACUUAUCUAGAGUCAGCUUGUUUACUUCCUAUCAUACUUUUAUAUAGCCCAGAUGUAUGUCCUAGACUCUUCAGUGACACGGCAGGCCUGAAGGCUUUGUAAGGUGCACAUAAGGAAAUCCUGUUCACUUGCCAUUUCCUGCUAUAGAGGUCUGAUGACCAAAGG
RNAcentral lists this long non-coding RNA (258 nucleotides) under Mus spicilegus (steppe mouse). RNAcentral describes it as "lncRNA (ENSMSIG00000009534.1)". The record is from RNAcentral. Lineage: Eukaryota; Metazoa; Chordata; Mammalia; Rodentia; Muridae.